Molecule: long non-coding RNA, 1239 nt
Filed under: Zea mays
Lineage: Eukaryota; Viridiplantae; Streptophyta; Magnoliopsida; Poales; Poaceae
Description: long non-coding RNA (ZMAY_LNC001909)
Source: RNAcentral
CGGAACUGAUUUCAGAUUCAUAAGUAAAUACAGAAGGAAAAAAAUACAGAACAAUGUGGGUGUGCAUGUUCACACUUAUAUAGAUCAUUACAAUAAUAAGAAGCUAUCCUUCGAAAAGUAAACAAAAGCCUCCCCUGCCCCUACACUAAUUAAGUAAACAAGGCCCAAUAAACAAUUACAACCCUGAGUUAAAAUAAGGGCACCAACUACUAUGGGCACACAGCAAAGUAGUGUAAGUAGUAACACUAAAACUAAAACCUCAGUAAGCCUUAAUACAAUCGGGAAAUACUAAAACGUUUACUCUAAGAAUUAGUCAAUACUAAAAAAUCCUGUUUCAGUCAGUGAGACUCAUUCCGGGGUGAGUCUUAGAGCGUGGAGUCUGCAAUUUGGAUAGUCGAGAGCAGUCGAAUGAAUGGACUAAGAGCAGCUCUAGUGUUGGUAGGAAUCUAACCUCGCGGAUGGAAACUGAACUAUCAACACUGCAGCAGUCAAUCGCUCACUGUCAGUAGCAGAAUUCGACCUCCAAACAUGGCUAUGUGCGAGGGAGUAAAAUAUUCAGCCUUCACUGCUCUGACCUCUUUAGUGCAGUACAAUUUCCUCUUUCUCUUGGCUGUUUUGGAGAUUGAACUCGAUGAGAAAGGAGUAGAUUACACUAUUUUAUUUGGUUGUAGGCUCCACUAAAUCGAACUCAGCAGUGGAGGCGGCGAACUCAGCAGUGGAGGUAGAGGUCGAAGGGAGGGGGAGAUGCCAUCUAGCCACGGAGACACCAUCUAGCUUGACCUUCUUGACUUGUUAUUCGGCGGUGGCUUUUGCGAAGGAAGAAAUUAGAACCAUUAAGUAGAUUGAAGGGCGAGGAAAAACAAUGAAGCAAGAAGAGAAGGUCGUACAGUACCUGGGGGCGGAGACGGUGGCGGAUUGGGGCUAGGGUUAGGGUUUUGGGCGGGGCGCUGGAGUCUGCAGGUGAAGCGAAGGAGGUGGUCGUUGAGGCCGUUCAUCGUAGGGGUGGCGGCAGGGAGACGACGAUCCUUAGGGACGGUGGUGACGGGUUCAUCGAUGUCGUCGUCGUUGAGAUCGCCGCAGAGGUCGAAGGGAGGGGGAGACGCCAUCUAGCCACGGAGACGCCCAAGAGGCAAGAGGCAAGGGGACGGAAUCGAAUCGAAGAUGCGCAGUGGGGAUGGGUGCUCUUCCUCGUUGGUUCAUACCUAUCUCACUUGCCGAGGAGAGGAAGGAGAGGGCGAG